GGGGCUGAUCGGUUUCGACAGCGCCUGCGAACCCGCGAGAAGCGGGCCGAGGAUGUGGGGUUAUCUCGUAAACGCUCCCUGCAAAACUAUAAGUGCCGAAACCAAGCGCACUGACUUCGCCCUCGCUGCGUAAGCGAGCCCGAUAGUCCGUCAGACCGUGUGUGACCCCGCCACGGAUUCUGGCGUCAUUUAGGGGUCUUGCUGUGUGACGGCGUCCGGACGUCACGCGGGACUUUUCCCGGACUGGGCCUGUCGACUUAGGUGUCUGUGACAAAGGUCGGGGCCGAGCAGAACGUCUGCACAGACUGCGCCCGGAGAAAACGCGGAGACCCAGCGUUGGACGGGGGUUCGAUUCCCCCCAGCUCCACGA
This 370-nucleotide transfer-messenger RNA is filed under the name Microbacterium sp. It matches the Rfam family "transfer-messenger RNA". Rfam says of the family: Bacterial tmRNA, also known as 10Sa RNA or SsrA, is named for its dual tRNA and mRNA-like properties. RNAcentral also lists the same sequence under 1 other name. The record is from RNAcentral. Lineage: Bacteria; Bacillati; Actinomycetota; Actinomycetes; Micrococcales; Microbacteriaceae.